UGGGGAAUCUUGCGCAAUGGGCGAAAGCCUGACGCAGCCAUGCCGCGUGGAUGAUGAAGGUCUUAGGAUUGUAAAAUCCUUUCAGCGGGGACGAUAAUGACGGUACCCGCAGAAGAAGCCCCGGCUAACUUCGUGCCAGCAGCCACGGUAAUACGAAGGGGGCUAGCGUUGCUCGGAAUUACUGGGCGUAAAGGGCGCGUAGGCGGAUAGUUUAGUUGGGGGUGAAAGCCCGGGGCUCAACCUCGGAACUGCCUUCAAUACUGGCUAUCUUGAGUACGGGAGAGGUGUGUGGAACUCCGAGUGUAGAGGUGAAAUUCGUAGAUAUUCGGAAGAACACCAGUGGCGAAGGCGACACACUGGCCCGUUACUGACGCUGAGGCGCGAAAGCGUGGGGAGCAAACAGGAUUAGAUACCCUGGUAGUCCACGCCGUAAACGAUGAGUGCUAGUUGUCGGGCGGCAUGCCGUUCGGUGACGCAGCUAACGCAUUAAGCACUCCGCCUGGGGAG
This 507-nucleotide ribosomal RNA is filed under the name uncultured Pseudomonadota bacterium. Its description in RNAcentral is "bacterial SSU rRNA". It matches the Rfam family "Bacterial small subunit ribosomal RNA", at positions 355 to 880 of the family's 1533-position model. Lineage: Bacteria; Pseudomonadati; Pseudomonadota. The record is from RNAcentral.